This is a long non-coding RNA of Felis catus (domestic cat), 853 nucleotides long. RefSeq lists it as uncharacterized. Lineage: Eukaryota; Metazoa; Chordata; Mammalia; Carnivora; Felidae. The record is from RefSeq and is a predicted model, not a curated record. The transcript has 4 exons.
UUUCUUUUCCAUGUAGUGGUAAUACUGAAUUACCGAACUUCCCAAACUGUUGGAGAAGGUCAUAGAAAGGAUAUGACCUCUGGUGGACCUGCCAGCUGGACCCCGGCAAUCAGAGGCUUCUCCCCCUUCCACUGCCCUUGGAGUGUAUGUUCUCUCCACCCUCCCCACUGCCAAAGACAUGAUCAAGGACAGCCUUGAGAGAGUAAUGUGUUAUUGAAAUCAUCUGGGCAGUAUUCCGUGCCUGACCCUUGUUAAGGCCUCUAUAUAAACUCUUAAGAUUCACCAUCAGGUGUUGAGAUUUGUCUUGCGGAAGCCCAGGACCAGCUUAGUAGGUACAUACCUAGGAGUGGGGUUCCCAAGUUUUUGGGCAUCUGAAUGAGCCGUUCUGGCCUUCACCUAGGAUCCUGAGUGCUACAGAAGCUAACACCUCGAUCAUUAAGAAUAUUCUGGAAAUAGAGAAUUUUGAUUAUUUUAAGGGAAAAGAAGUAUUUAUGUUUUUCAAAAGUAUCACAGAAAGAAGAAACUUUAAGAAUUCCUUAACAGAGGAAGAAUUUCAGACUCCAUUGCAUCAGGGUUGAGAAUAUUUUGAAGUGGGAGGCUGAGCAGCUUUUCUGGCAUCUCUUGAAACAUGACAGAGGACAUUGACAAUGGUCCCUUGGUGGAUACAACCAUGUUCCUUUGAAACAGACUGAACAAGACACAAGAGGGAUAUUGAAGCAAACAGACUAUGUUUAUAGCAUUAUUCGUGGAACUGCCCUGGUGCCCUUCUCUAUUUGAAUUGAUUUUGACCACUCCUUUUGUAACCCUCAGUUGAUUCUCAUCUGCUAGGUCAAUAUACUCUUUGACAACUCUA